Molecule: transfer RNA, 74 nt
Filed under: Lactobacillus helveticus
Lineage: Bacteria; Bacillati; Bacillota; Bacilli; Lactobacillales; Lactobacillaceae
Description: tRNA-Met
Rfam family: tRNA
About the family: Transfer RNA (tRNA) molecules are approximately 80 nucleotides in length. Their secondary structure includes four short double-helical elements and three loops (D, anti-codon, and T loops).
Source: RNAcentral
CGCGGGAUGGAGCAGUCUGGUAGCUCGUCGGGCUCAUAACCCGAAGGUCGUUGGUUCAAAUCCAGUUCCCGCAA